AGCAGUAGCCGCGGUAAUACGUAGGUGGCAAGCGUUGUCCGGAAUUAUUGGGCGUAAAGCGCGCGCAGGCGGAUCAGUUAGUCUGUCUUAAAAGUUCGGGGCUUAACCCCGUGAUGGGAUGGAGACUGCUGAUCUAGAGUAUCGGAGAGGAAAGUGGAAUUCCUAGUGUAGCGAUGAAAUGCGUAGAUAUUAGGAAGAACACCAGUGGCGAAGGCGACUUUCUGGACGAAAACUGACGCUGAGGCGCGAAAGCCAGGGGAGCGAACGGGAUUAGAUACCCCGGUAGUCCCUGUCUCUUAUACA
Molecule: ribosomal RNA, 303 nt
Filed under: uncultured bacterium
Lineage: Bacteria
Description: partial 16S ribosomal RNA
Rfam family: Bacterial small subunit ribosomal RNA
Source: RNAcentral